UGCAGGAUAGCUCACUUGGUAAAGCAUGAGACUCUCAACCUCAGGGUCGUGGGUUCGAGCACCACGUUGGGCAA
Non-coding RNA from Podarcis lilfordi (Lilford's wall lizard), 74 nucleotides. NCBI's taxonomy places the organism in Eukaryota, Metazoa, Chordata, Lepidosauria, Squamata, Lacertidae. The record is from the annotation of a GenBank genome assembly.